Molecule: RNA transcript, 1013 nt
Organism: Cucurbita moschata (crookneck pumpkin)
Lineage: Eukaryota; Viridiplantae; Streptophyta; Magnoliopsida; Cucurbitales; Cucurbitaceae
Gene name: actin-related protein 2/3 complex subunit 4
Exons: 10
Source: RefSeq, a predicted model, not a curated record
UUCUGAUCAAUUCUCGCGUCUUUCUUUCUCUCGCCUUCUUUCCUUCGCCUUCUUUCCUUCGCUUUCUUUUGCUUUCUCCCGCGUCGGAGUUUUGGAGUUUCGGUCGCAUCGUAUCAAUAAAUCUGUACUCUCACAAGCUCAUUACACGAUCCAAACAUUUUUCUCCAUCAGAGUUAUCACUUCAGCGCGCGAAUUUUGAUCUCCGAAAAGCACUCUCUGGAACUCAGAAAUGGCAAAUGCUUUACGCUUGUAUUUGUCGUGCAUUCGGAACACUCUCGAGGCCGCUAUGUGCCUUCAGAAUUUUCCUUGUCAAGAAGUUGAAAGACACAACAAGCCAGAGGUUGAACUAAAGACCAGCUCAGAACUUAUUCUCAAUCCUAUCUUAAUAUGUAGAAAUGAGUCAGAGAAGUGUUUGAUUGAGACAUCUAUAAACUCUCUCCGGAUCAGUCUCAAGGUUAAACAGACAGAUGAACUGGAGAACAUCCUCACUAAAAAGUUCCUACGAUUUCUGUCAAUGAGGGCAGAAGCUUUCCAGGUGCUGAGAAGAAAACCUGUACAGGGAUACGACAUUAGCUUUCUCAUAACAAACUAUCAUUGUGAGGAGCUGCAGAAGCAAAAGCUCAUUGAUUUUAUUGUACAGUUUAUGGAGGAUAUUGAUAAAGAGAUUAGUGAACUUAAAAUGUCCGUGAACACUCGGGGAAGGCUUGUAGCAACAGAGUUUCUAAAGCAAUUCAUUUGAUGUCUCUCUCUCUCUCUCUCUCUCUCUCUAUAUAUAUAUAUAUAUAUCCUGAGUUGCUCAUUGCUCAUUGCAAAUUGGCUGCCAUUGUUGAGAGUUUGGAUGGGGAUCGUUGCAUCCAAUAAUUAUGUUGCUGUAAGUAAGUAUUGCCCCUUCUGCAUCGUCUGAACUCAAAAUCUCUUUGCUUUGCUUAAUCCACUUUUCUGAUGAUAAUAUACUGUUUUUAUUAGGUUUCAUUUUUGGCCUUCAUAAAUUAAACGUACUCUCUAGUUUUUUU